RNAcentral lists this long non-coding RNA (4282 nucleotides) under Vitis vinifera (wine grape). Its description in RNAcentral is "long non-coding RNA (VVIN_LNC004843)". The record is from RNAcentral. Lineage: Eukaryota; Viridiplantae; Streptophyta; Magnoliopsida; Vitales; Vitaceae.
CAGACUGCCGCAGCAGGAAAAUCAGAAGAGCAACAUCAGGAAACAUCCAAAACAUUGCUUUCUGAAGAACAGGACCAUGGAAUUACAGCCAUAAUUGGGUACUCAGAAGAUGAAAAGGCAAAGGAAGGUGAAAUUUCUGGAUUGGUACUUGAACUCAAUGAGAACAUACAGCAAAUUAAUCCGAUUGAACCACCAAAAGAAGAAUGCAUUACUCUAGAUGAAGUAUCACAGUUAGAGCAUCAAGAAAAUGCGUCUGCAAUAAAAUGCUCAGAUUCUCCAACAGAAAGUGACAAAGUCAUGGAGCUGUCAGAAGAGGUGAGGCCACCAUAACUACCCUCAUCCUCUAUUAAUAGUCAUUAUUAAACUAAGUAAUUAACUUCAAUGGAUUUCUCUUUUGCAUUUCCAUAUGGUUUGAGUAGGUUUAUUUGAUAUAUUGAAGUUAUGUGCAUUGAAUAGGUGCCUGAGGAAGCUGAGAAAGCUGCAGAAGAACGUGAAAACAUCAAAGAACGGAUCAUAGAGAGAGAGAGAGAGAUCAACGAAUUUCCUGCAGUAUACAUUGAAGAUGAAUCAGUUGACAAGGUCAGCUUAACAUUAGUAUAUGAAAUAUUAAUUCAACCAUUUCUCAUAUGCUGCUGUCUUUUCUUUUUUCUAUCCACUAAUUUCAGCAUUAUCUGUUAAGCAGGAGCAACAUUCUGAGACGGUAUCCAAUGAGAAUCCUAGCGCAACAGAUUCCGAAGUGCAAACAGAAAAAAUGAACCUAGAGGUUGAGGAAGAUUUCAGCAAAGACCCUGAAGGAUCUCCCGUUACAAAAGCAAUGGAAGAAGAGAUGCUACAGAAACAGGGUAGUGAGGAGAAAGUGGACGUCUCCAGCUCUGUAUCUGAAAUAUCAGAAGAAAUUAAGGAGGAGAUCAUAGAAGACGCGGACACUUGCUCUAACAAUAUUGAUACUGCAUCUGAAAAAGUGGAAACAGAACAGACAAGCUUGCAGGAAGCUCAGCUGGAUGACAAGCAUAUAAAGAUCAUUGAGACUAGUUCAGAAGAUAAGACAUUGCAAACAAACACCGCAACUGAAACUAUUCCACAGGGUGUAGAAGUUGACAGAGUUAAGCUUGAAGAAACCUCUGAAGGGGUGUCUCAACUUCCAGCUAUUGCAUGUGAGAACAGAAACAAGGAGAGUGAAAUUGUGGAAAAGCCACAUGUAGAUGAAGUUGAAGAAAUUGAAGGAGCUUCUGAAACAGUAUCUGAGUCCAGAGAACAAUGUGUUGAAGAAAAUGAUGGAACACAGAAAAGCCUAACUGUGGAAGAAUCAGAAGAACGUAUAAUUAAAGAAGAAAUCAAAGGACCAUCUGAAACAGUGUCUGGAUGCAACUAUGAAGGUGUUGAAGCAGUUAUUGAAGAUGAAAUCGAUGUUGUUCAGACUGCCACAGAAGGAAAAUCAGAAGAGCAACAUCAGGAAACAUCCAAAGCAUUGCUUUCUGAAGAACAGGACCAUGGAAUUAUAGCCACAAUUGGGUACUCAGAAGAUGGAAAGACAAAGGAAGAAGAAACCCCAAAAAAUGAGAACCUAGAAGAUUCUUUUGCCACAAAGACAGCAGAUUACAUGCACUUGCAAAAGGAAGAGCCCAGGGAGCUCGAACUUUCUGGAUUGGGGCUGGAAGUCAAUGAGAACAUGCAGAAAAUUAAUCCAAAUGAACAACCAAAGGAAGAAUGCAUUACUGUAGAUGAAGUAUCACAGCUAGAGCCUCAAGAAAACGUGUCUGCAAUAAAAUGCUCAGAUUCUCCAACAGAAAGUGACAAAGCCAUGGAGCUGUCAGAAGAGGUCAGACCACCAUAACUGCCCUCAUCCUCUCUUAUUACUUGUUAUUAAACUAAGUAAUUAACUUCAACGGAUUUCUCUUUUUGAAUUUCCAUACGGUUUGAGUAGGUUUUAUUUGAUAUAUUGAAGUUAUGUGCAUUGAAUAGGUGCCUGAGGGAGCUGAGAAAGCUGCAGAAGAACGUGAAAACAUCAAAGAACUGAUCAUAGAGAAAGAGAGAGAUAUCAAGGAAUUUCCAGCAGUAUCCAUUGAAGAUGAAUCAGUUAACAAGGUCAGCUUAACAUUAGUAUAUGAAAUCUUAUUUCAACCAUUUCUCAUAUGCAGCUGUCUUUUUUUCUUUCUAUCCACUAAUUUCAGCAUUAUGUAUUAAACAGGAACAACAUUCUGAGACAGUAUCCGAUGAGAAUCCUAGAGCAACAGAUUCUGAAGUGCAAACUGAAAAUGUUAACCUAGAGGUUGUGGAAGAUUUCAGCAAAGACCCUGAAGGAUCUCCCAUUACAAAAGCAAUGGAAGAAGAGAUGCUACAGAAACAGGGUGGUGAGAAGAAAGUGGAUGUCUCCAGCUCUGUAUCUGAAAUAUCAGAAGAAAUUAAUAAGGAGGUCAUAGAAGAUGCCGACACUUGCUCUAACAGUAUUGAUACUGCAUCUGAAAAAGUGGAAACAGAACAGACAAGCUUGCAGGAAGCUCAGCUGGAUGACAAGCAUAUAAAGAUCAUUGAGACUAGUUCAGAAGAUAAGACAUUGCAAACAAACACCGCAACUGAAACUAGUCCACAGGGUGUAGAAGUUGACAGAGUUAAGCUUGAAGAAACCUCUGAAGGGGUGUCUCAACUUCCAGCUAUUGCAUGUGAGAACAGAAACAAGGAGAGUGAAAUUGUGGAAAAGCCACAUGUAGAUGAAGUUGAAGAAAUUGAAGGAGCUUCUGAAACAGUAUCUGAGUCCAGAGAACAAUGUGUUGAAGAAAAUGAUGGAACACAGAAAAGCCUAACUGUGGAAGAAUCAGAAGAACGUAUAAUUAAACAAGAGAUCAAAGGACCAUCUGAAACAGUGUCUGGAUGCAACUAUGAAGGUGUUGAAGCAGUUAUUGAAGAUGAAAUCGAUGUUGUUCAGACUGCCACAGAAGGAAAAUCAGAAGAGCAAAAUCAGGAAACAUCCAAAGCAUUGCUUUCUGAAGAACGGGACCAUGGAAUUAUAGCCACAAUUGGGUACUCAGAAGAUGGAAAGACAAAGGAAGAAGAAACCCCACAAAAUGAGAACCUAGAAGAUUCUUUCGCCACAAAGACAGCAGAUUACAUGCACUUGCAAAAGGAAGAGCCCAGGGAGCUCGAACUUUCUGGAUUGGGGCUGGAACUCAAUGAGAACAUACAGAAGAAUAACCCAAAUGAACCACCAAAGGAAGAAUGCAGCACUAUAGAUGAAGUGUCACCAUUAGAGCCUCAAGAAAAUGUCUCUGUGAUAAAAUGCACAGAUUCUCCUGUGGAAAGUGACAAAGUCAUGGAACUAACAGAAGAGGUCAGACCACCAUAACUACUCUCUCAUUACUCAUUACUGAAUUAAGUAAUUAACUUGUAUGCUUUUCCCUGUUUGCAAUUCCAUAUGGCUUGAGUGGUGGGUUUUAUUCAAUAUAUUGAAGUUAUGUCUACUGAAUAGGUGCCUGAGGGAGCUGAGAAAGCUGCAGAAAGGGAAAACAUCAAAGAACUGAUCAUAGAGAAAGAGAGAGAUAUCAAGGAACUUCCUGCAGUUUCCACUGAUGAAUUGGUUAUCGAGGUCAGCUUAAUAUUAAUGUGGAAUAUUAUUUCACCCUUUUCUCAAUGCCAAUGCUUUUUCUUCUUCCUGUGGUCUCUCAUGUCAACAUUAUCUGUUAAUCAGGUGCAAGUUCUGGAGCCAGUUUCCAGUGAAAAUCUUGGAGUGACAGACCCCAAUAUGCCUGCAGAGAACUUGAACUUAGAGGUGGAAGAUUCAAGUAAGGAACCAAUAGGAUCUCCCAUUACAGAAGCAUUGGAAGAAGAAAUGUCAGAGAAACAAGAUGGUGAGAAGGCAAUGGAUGUCCUUAGCUCUGUAUCUGAAAUGCAAGAAGAAAAUAUUAAAGAGGAGAUCAUGGAGAAAGCAGACAUUUCCUAUAGCAAGCUUGAUGCUGCAUCUGAAAAGGGGGAAACAGAAGAGUCAAGCUCGCAGGAAGCUCAGCUGGAUGACGAGCCUGUGAAGAUCAUUGAGACUAGUUCAGAAGAUAAGACACUACAAACAAACACCAUAACUGAAACUAGUCCACAGGCUGAAGAGGUUGACAGAAUGAAGCUUGAAGAAACCUUGGAAUUGGUGUCUCAACUUCCAGCUAAGGCAUGUGAGAACACAAACAAGGAGAGUGAAACAGUGGAAAGGCCAAUUGCAGAUGAAAUUGAAGAAACCACAGGAGCUUCUGAUACAGUAUCAGAGUCCAAAGAACAAUGUGCUGAAGAAAUUGAUGAAACC